GAAUGUUGGGAACCGAUCUGAUUCCAAGGAUUGAGAAGUUUUGCAGUGGUCAACUGGUAUAGACAUCCCAUUACCACUACUUCCUUCAUUGGACUGCAAGGUAUUUCUGUUUGGAAAAGUAAUGGAGUCCAGUCAACUUCAUUGAUCGCCAAGGACUGUCAAAAUUAUAAAACUUGCUGUGGAGCUCUGACAUGCCAGAAGCCGCUAGAAAAAGAAGUUUGACAUUCAGAAACUUAUCAAGAGGUUCUACUCUUUGGAUAGAGACCAAAAUCAUACUUUGAAUGAUAUGCAAUGCAAGACUCCCAAGAUUCUGGGCAGUGGCAGGGAGGUGCAGCUUCUAGUCUGCCGCAUGAUCACAAUGUCAGCUGGUCCCUCUUCUCAGGUGUAGAUCACCUAUUAUAAUUUUACCUAAUUUUGAUACUCUGAUAAGGAAAGUCCCAGGACUUAUCAGCUGGGAUAGGCCUCACUUACAAGACAGCUCUGUUCAGUAUUUGGAAGAAAGCCUGACAGGUUUCUUCGGAAAAGUGGCCAUCCAUGGAAUGAAUGAAAUGUUCUCUUUCUAUUCCACCUCUAGAGACCAUCAAAAAACAAUGGCUCAUAAUGCUUUUAGAACAGAAACUGAAGUUGUAUACUGUGCAUAUGUAAUCCUACACAAGAGGAAGGCAAUGUUUAAAGCUGCUGUCACCUCUUAGGGAAAAAACUGGAAUUCUGAGUCAAGGGAUUGCAGUGGCAAAGCUAGGCUAGGUCUUGGAGGCUGGUGUAAGGCGAUGUGGGUGAAGGCAGGAGGCUGAUGGAAAGACUGGGGGGAAGAAAAGCCGAAAUGGAUUCACGGUGCCUUGGAUGAAGGACGAGAGGGGAACUGCAAGCUCCUUCAACUGGUUCUGUCCGGUGAGAAGUGAUCAAGCUUGGGCUGACAAGAGGCUCAGGGAGCCCUCACGUUCUUUCGCUUUUUUACCUGCCAAUCAAACUGCUACAAGACAACACCCUGAUCUGGCAUGGACAUCGCGGGUCCAAGCCUGUAGCCCCAAAUCGGAUAAUCUCUGCAGCUGAUAACAAGCAAAAGAGAAGCCAGGCAACAGCCAUAUUAAAGAAGAAAACAAUCAACUCUGAGACACAGCCCAGGCAGACAGAAGGAAACGGAGCAUUAAUCCAACUGCAGUCACCCCAAAGUACAGGCCAUUUGGAUCCAGAAGAGAAACUGGUUCCUUCUACAAGCUCUCCCGUUCUCCCUGGGGCCCUUCACAGCCUCCUUGUCUACGUUGUGGCUGUGCUUUCCCUGAUCCAACUUAGAAAUAAUGUUUCAUUCAAGAUAAGGCUCGUGGCUUAGGAGAUUGUGACCUGGCUUGCAUCAUUCUAAGACUUCUAUCGUCUGUUUUCAAAACCCAAGGAGGACCUCCUUUUCUGUGUGAUAGUUCCUCAUGCUUUGCCAGCCACUGGGUCUUUAAGGAAGCUUGCCAAGAGUUCCCGGCUGGGAAGGACAGUUCGAGUUCAUCAUAGACAAUGAGCUGGCACCACAGUUUAAGUGACUCACCAACCUGGUUGCCCACUUCAAAAUGUCAAGAACCACACUAUCUAAUUGAAAGAACUGUGUUUUAGCAAAGUGUAAUUGGAUCGCCUGGCAAGAUCAUCUCAAACUAUGUCUCUGACCUUGCCUUUCAGUGGCUAUUUUGAGCACAAGAGGAGAAAGGAAAUGAUUCCUGAAUUAUAUCUUGUUUUUAAAAAUUAAGAUUAAUUAAUACUUGGUUUUAUGUUCAUUCCAUUGUAGGAACUUAGUGAUUAUUACAAAACAGUCAAAAUAGGUCAUAGCAAAAUGAACGUUUAAGAUUAGGUUAAAACAUUCCUCUGAAAUUUUAGUAUUCACUUUUGAAGUGUCAAUUACUAUAUUUCUGUAAUUUCUCAUUUUUUUCUUGGCUUAGAGUCAAGAUGAAAAAUGAUAUUUGAAUCAAAGACAUUGUUUUGUUAUAUAGCCACUCCUUUCUAAAAUGCAAAUCCACCCUCCCCUCACCAAUGCUUUAUUCUUUGUGCGCGCACACACACACACACACACACACACACACACACACACACACAGACAUACACAGAACCAGCACCCAAAUGGUAGAGGAGGUCCUUCCAAGACUUCUAGGACCUGGAUCAUGUAAGCAGUAGAUGAGAAAAUGAAGUAAGAGAUAUAGAGUAAUAACAAUAAAAGUCAAUGAUUUCAUUUUACAAAAAAGUCAUUGUGUAGUACUCAGAUAUUUUUAAGAGCAAGUAUUAUUAUGACUAAAGUAUAUUAUACUUCUAAAUUAUUAUGAUUCUCAUCUAAUUUCAAGCCACACAUAGGCGCCAUUUGAAAGCAUUUUGUGUUACAACCUAUCAACAAAAAUCAACUAAUAGUUUUAUAACGUGCAUAGGUUUACCCCAUGGGGAAUUAAAAUUUUUAUCUGCAAGUAUUUCUGUUGUUGUGAGACUUUAGGACAAGACAACAUUUGGUGUUAACAUAGAAGAAUAUUCUAUGGCUUUUUUAGCUUUAAAGUUCAUUACUCUAAAAUAAAGUACACGUGGUAUUUUUUUCUUCCUAGUGUUCUCUUAUUAUAUGUAGAGUAUUUUCGGUUGUUGUUUUUAACGUAUACAUUAUUUUUAUUAAGUCAUUUCAUAAAAGAUAAGAUAUAUACUAAUAGACCCUUGGUUUUCUCCUAAUUUAAUUAUUUCAAGUCAAGCAAAAUUGGGCAAUUUUCUUUCAGGAAAAAAAAAAUAUUGAGCAUGAUUUUGAGGUAAAACUGAUUAUUUACAGCAUCUUUUCUCUAAUAGGCUAACAUUUAUGAUGGAUCUUAUUUCAAAGUUGAUUAUUCUCAAAGAAAAGUGGAGAUAUUAGAAUUUCCGAGUAAAUUGCAUUGUUUUAAAAAGUACUUUAAUGCAUUGUUCACAUUGUUGCCAGCUAUUGACCAAAAAAGAGAAGAAGAAAAAAGAAAUAAAAAAAGCAGUAUCUGCUCCAAACGUCAAGUUUUGCAGUUUGAAAGACUUGUACAUUAUAAUUGUUUUUUUCUUUUUUGGAAAGCAGUAGUAAUUAAUACCAAAGGCAUAGACAAUUUAGGGCCAUAACCUCCCUUCCCCCCUCUCCACCUUUUUUUUUUUUUUUUUUUUUUUUUAACUUUAACCAUGAUAGGCAUCUCUGCAAGGUAGGUUUUAACAUAUUUUUUUCCUAAUUUUUUUCCCUCCAUUCAGUAAGAAGGAUAAGCUUUUAGAGUACCCAGUCACCGUGGUAACUGCCAAAAAAAUUCUCCUGAAGUUUGAAGAGGUCAGCUAGCAGGGUCAACAACCCUGGCCUCUCUCUGAGCUCGGUCUAGCAUGCCCCAGCCUGCGGUUGGAGUGUCAGGCCAGAUCUGACCCUGGGAGGUGGACCAUUCUGGCUCUGAUAUAAAUUUUUCGAGUCAGUUCAUGGCCUGGACUCUCCAGGUGGCCUCCAAAAUCGAUUUUGACCCCCUGACCCUGUCUCACGGAGGCAUAGCAUCCACCCUAAGUAAGGAUUUAGCCAGGAAUGACAGCUUUCCACUGAGUGUUAUUGGGGACAGUAUAAACAGUUUGGAAAGCAAGUAAGGAGGUGUGAGGGCUAGCAAUCAUUAAAAGCACAUUAAAAAACAAUUUUUAAAAAUCUUUAUUAGAGAAAGUUGUAAAUGCAUAUCUGUUACAGAAUUCCUGUGAUUUGUAGAGUUUUCUAGUCAGUUUUGAAUAUAAAUAGGUCACAUAUCUUUAUCUUUUUGCAUACUUUGUUACAAAUAUGCAAAUAAGAUAGGCAUACUUGCUACAAAAUAGGUACAGCAGGAAUGUAAUAUGUUCAGAAAAGGCAAACUGGUUAUUAAAACACAUUAACAGGUAAGGAGUUUCUAAUAUUUUAAAUACUAAAAUUUUACAUGUGUAUUUUGAAGUUUUUAAAAUGGAAAAAUAAAGAACCUUUAAAAAACCCAACAGUGUGGAAUAAAGAUAAACUUGUUGCACUCAAGGUACAUUUCUACUUUGUAAAGCAAGAAGCCAAUACACUCAGUUGGAUAAAAAUGAGAGAAAAAUUGUAAAUAUAGAGAGUUACAGCUUAUAGAGCUGAAGAGGAAUAAAACAAAAAAAAGUGUCUCUGAAUAACUUUAUGUAUUUUCAACAGUUUAAGAUAUCAGAAACUUGGAAAAUAAAUAUGAUAUAUAUAUAAAUCAUCA
RNAcentral lists this long non-coding RNA (4184 nucleotides) under Homo sapiens (human). RNAcentral describes it as "PREDICTED lncRNA (TCONS_00189035)". The stretch from base 728 to 1003 matches the Rfam family "SOX2 overlapping transcript exon 3". The record is from RNAcentral. Lineage: Eukaryota; Metazoa; Chordata; Mammalia; Primates; Hominidae.